RNAcentral lists this ribosomal RNA (443 nucleotides) under uncultured bacterium. RNAcentral describes it as "partial 16S ribosomal RNA". It matches the Rfam family "Bacterial small subunit ribosomal RNA", at positions 338 to 795 of the family's 1533-position model. The record is from RNAcentral.
CCUACGGGUGGCAGCAGUCGAGAAUUAUUCACAAUGGGGGAAACCCUGAUGGUGCAACGCCGCGUGAAUGAUGAAGGUCUUCGGAUUGUAAAGUUCUUUUCUAAGGGAAGAAGAAAGUGACGGUACCUUAGGAAUAAGCCUCGGCUAACUACGUGCCAGCAGCCGCGGUAAUACGUAGGAGGCAAGCGUUAUCCGGAAUGACUGGGCGUAAAGGGUGCGUAGGUGGUUUGACAAGUUGGUAGCGUAACUCCGGAGCUCAACUUCGGAACUACUACCAAAACUGUUGGACUCGAGUGCAGGAGGGGCAACUGGAAUUUCUAGUGUAGCGGUGGAAUGCGUAGAUAUUAGGAAGAACACAGGUGGCGAAGGCGAGUUGCUGGACUGUAACUGACACUGAGGCACGAAAGCGUGGGGAGCAAACAGGAUUAGAUACCCCUGUAGUC